RNAcentral lists this unclassified non-coding RNA (385 nucleotides) under soil metagenome. RNAcentral describes it as "partial contains 5.8S ribosomal RNA, internal transcribed spacer 2, and large subunit ribosomal RNA". The stretch from base 1 to 120 matches the Rfam family "5.8S ribosomal RNA", at positions 35 to 154 of the family's 154-position model. The record is from RNAcentral.
GAUGAAGAACGCAGCGAAAUGCGAUAAGUAAUGUGAAUUGCAGAAUUCAGUGAAUCAUCGAAUCUUUGAACGCACCUUGCGCUCCUUGGUAUUCCGAGGAGCAUGCCUGUUUGAGUGUCAUUAAAUUCUCAACCUCACCAGUUUUCUGAACUGUUCUUCGAGGCUUGGAUGUGGGGGUUUGUGCAGGCUGCCUCACGGCGGUCCGCUCCCCUGAAAUGCAUUAGCGAGUUCAUACUGAACUUCCGUCUAUUGGUGUGAUAAUUAUCUACGCCGUGGACGAGGAUCAGACUCGCUUCUAACCGUCCGCGAGGACAAUACCUUGACAAUUUGACCUCAAAUCAGGUAGGACUACCCGCUGAACUUAAGCAUAUCAAUAAGCGGAGGA